GACGAACGCUGGCGGCGUGCCUAAUACAUGCAAGUCGAACGCAGUGGGGACGGGUGAGUAACACGUGGGUAACCUCCCAUCAGAGGGGAUAACACUUGGAAACAGGUGCUAAACCGAUACUGAUGGAUGGACCCGCGGUGCAUUAGCUAGUUGGUGAGGUAACGGCUCACCAAGGCCACGAUGCAUAGCCGGCCUGGGAUGCUGAUCGGCCCCACUGCGACUGAUACACGGCCCAGACUCCUACGAAAAGCAGCAGUAGGGACUCGUCUGCAAUGGGGUGAACCCUGACCGAGCAACGCCGCGUGAGUGAAGAAGUUUUUCGGAUCGUAAAGCUCUGUUGUUAAGGAAGCGGUACUUAACCAGAAAGGGACGGCUAACUACGUGCCAGCAGCCGCGGUAAUAC
This 403-nucleotide ribosomal RNA is filed under the name uncultured bacterium. Its description in RNAcentral is "partial 16S ribosomal RNA". It matches the Rfam family "Bacterial small subunit ribosomal RNA", at positions 28 to 526 of the family's 1533-position model. The record is from RNAcentral.